CAGCCGCCGCGGUAAUACGUAGGGUGCAAGCGUUAAUCGGAAUUACUGGGCGUAAAGCGUGCGCAGGCGGUUAUAUAAGACAGAUGUGAAAUCCCCGGGCUCAACCUGGGAACUGCAUUUGUGACUGUAUAGCUAGAGUACGGCAGAGGGGUAUGGAAUUCCGCGUGUAGCAGUGAAAUGCGUAGAUAUGCGGAGGAACACCGAUGGCGAAGGCAAUCCCCUGGGCCUGUACUGACGCUCAUGCACGAAAGCGUGGGGAGCAAACAGGAUUAGAUACCCCGGUAGUCCCUGUCUCUUAUAC
Molecule: ribosomal RNA, 301 nt
Filed under: uncultured bacterium
Lineage: Bacteria
Description: partial 16S ribosomal RNA
Rfam family: Bacterial small subunit ribosomal RNA
Source: RNAcentral